This 1370-nucleotide ribosomal RNA is filed under the name uncultured bacterium. RNAcentral's name for it is "bacterial SSU rRNA". It matches the Rfam family "Bacterial small subunit ribosomal RNA". The record is from RNAcentral.
AGAGUUUGAUCCUGGCUCAGGACGAACGCUGGCGGCGCGCCUAACACAUGCAAGUCGAACGAGCGAGAGAGAGCUUGCUUUCUCGAGCGAGUGGCGAACGGGUGAGUAACGCGUGAGGAACCUGCCUCAAAGAGGGGGACAACAGUUGGAAACGACUGCUAAUACCGCAUAAGCCCACGGCUCGGCAUCGAGCAGAGGGAAAAGGAGCAAUCCGCUUUGAGAUGGCCUCGCGUCCGAUUAGCUAGUUGGUGAGGUAACGGCCCACCAAGGCGACGAUCGGUAGCCGGACUGAGAGGUUGAACGGCCACAUUGGGACUGAGACACGGCCCAGACUCCUACGGGAGGCAGCAGUGGGGAAUAUUGCACAAUGGGGGAAACCCUGAUGCAGCGACGCCGCGUGGAGGAAGAAGGUCUUCGGAUUGUAAACUCCUGUUGUUGGGGAAGAUAAUGACGGUACCCAACAAGGAAGUGACGGCUAACUACGUGCCAGCAGCCGCGGUAAAACGUAGGUCACAAGCGUUGUCCGGAAUUACUGGGUGUAAAGGGAGCGCAGGCGGGAAGACAAGUUGGAAGUGAAAUCUAUGGGCUCAACCCAUAAACUGCUUUCAAAACUGUUUUUCUUGAGUAGUGCAGAGGUAGGCGGAAUUCCCGGUGUAGCGGUGGAAUGCGUAGAUAUCGGGAGGAACACCAGUGGCGAAGGCGGCCUACUGGGCACCAACUGACGCUGAGGCUCGAAAGUGUGGGUAGCAAACAGGAUUAGAUACCCUGGUAGUCCACACCGUAAACGAUGAUUACUAGGUGUUGGAGGAAUUGACCCCUUCAGUGCCGCAGUUAACACAAUAAGUAAUCCACCUGGGGAGUACGACCGCAAGGUUGAAACUCAAAGGAAUUGACGGGGGCCCGCACAAGCAGUGGAGUAUGUGGUUUAUUCGACGCAACGCGAAGAACCUUACCAAGUCUUGACAUCCCUUGACAGACAUAGAAAUAUGUUUUCUCUUCGGAGCAAGGAGACAGGUGGUGCAUGGUUGUCGUCAGCUCGUGUCGUGAGAUGUUGGGUUAAGUCCCGCAACGAGCGCAACCCUUAUGGUCAGUUACUACGCAAGAGGACUCUGGCCAGACUGCCGUUGACAAAACGGAGGAAGGUGGGGAUGACGUCAAAUCAUCAUGCCCUUUAUGACUUGGGCUACACACGUACUACAAUGGCGUUAAACAAAGAGAAGCAAGACCGCGAGGUGGAGCAAAACUCAGAAACAACGUCCCAGUUCGGACUGCAGGCUGCAACUCGCCUGCACGAAGUCGGAAUUGCUAGUAAUCGUGGAUCAGCAUGCCACGGUGAAUACGUUCCCGGGCCUUGCACUCACCGCCCGUCA